This 563-nucleotide ribosomal RNA is filed under the name uncultured bacterium. RNAcentral describes it as "bacterial SSU rRNA". It matches the Rfam family "Bacterial small subunit ribosomal RNA", at positions 359 to 917 of the family's 1533-position model. The record is from RNAcentral.
GGAUUGGAAAUGGGCGCAGCCUGAUCCAGCAAUGCCGCGUGUGUGAAGAAGGCCUUCGGGUUGUAAAGCACUUUUAUCAGGAACGAAACACUGUCGGCUAAUACCCGGCGGGACUGACGGUACCUGAGGAAUAAGCACCGGCUAACUUCGUGCCAGCAGCCGCGGUAAUACGAAGGGUGCAAGCGUUAAUCGGAAUUACUGGGCGUAAAGCGUGCGUAGGCGGUUGCUUAAGUCUGUUGUGAAAUCCCCGGGCUCAACCUGGGAAUGGCAAUGGAUACUGGGCAGCUAGAGUGUGUCAGAGGAUGGUGGAAUUCCCGGUGUAGCGGUGAAAUGCGUAGAGAUCGGGAGGAACAUCAGUGGCGAAGGCGGCCAUCUGGGACAACACUGACGCUGAGGCACGAAAGCGUGGGGAGCAAACAGGAUUAGAUACCCUGGUAGUCCACGCCCUAAACGAUGCGAACUGGAUGUUGGUCUCAACUCGGAGAUCAGUGUCGAAGCUAACGCGUUAAGUUCGCCGCCUGGGGAGUACGGUCGCAAGACUGAAACUCAAAAAAAUUGACGGA